This is a non-coding RNA of Pelobates cultripes (western spadefoot toad), 350 nucleotides long. The record is from the annotation of a GenBank genome assembly. Lineage: Eukaryota; Metazoa; Chordata; Amphibia; Anura; Pelobatidae.
GGUAUGAUGACUGAGGUGGAGGAUUCUUGUAACUCUGGUAGUCUGGAUAGAUUUUGCAAUUCAGUUCUCUGUUUAGAGAAUAUACCCCUAACAGCCAAAAGGUGGUCCCUGAAACACAGUAUUGGUUAUGUACAAAGGGCAAUGUUGGUGGAGUGUUGUGAUACAAGUUGGAGCUGUAACAUUCCAUUGGUUUCCAUGGUGAUUGCUCCACUCACAACUAGAAUUACCUGACAUGUGCCCUUCACAGUGUAACCGAUAUAACAAGGUGUCCAUGCUCAUCCUUUAAGAUUUGCUGUCCUUAUAGUAUCAGAAGACCCAGCAUUCUGAAUGUCAGUAGUGAUAUGGCUCAG